This 1782-nucleotide long non-coding RNA is filed under the name Manihot esculenta (cassava). Its description in RNAcentral is "long non-coding RNA (MESC_LNC010092)". The record is from RNAcentral. Lineage: Eukaryota; Viridiplantae; Streptophyta; Magnoliopsida; Malpighiales; Euphorbiaceae.
UAAAAUUAAUUAAAAAUAAUAUAUGUUCUAAAAGUAAGUAAAAAAUAUCUUAUAAUAAUGUGUUUUGAUAAAUAUAUAAUUAUCAUUUAUAUAAUUAGAAAUAUUCUUUAUAUAGGAUAGAUGUGUUCUCUAUGUUAUAUAAUUUUAUUUUAUAAUUAUGAGCUUUAGAAUUAUAGCCAAUAGUUAUUAUUAUACAUAUGUUGAAACUCUCAUUUAAAUUUGAUCAAAUAAUUAAAUAGUAAAAAAAAGUAAGUUAAUAUAAAUUGUCAUAACUUGACAACUAUAGUUAAUUAAAUUAACUAAAAAGGAAAAAGGAAAAGAAAGAAGAGGGAGAGGGAAAGAAUGGAUGGUGGAAGAAAUAGUUAAAAAAUAGUUGAGGAAAUGUUUUAUGUAUACUUUUUAAUGGCAAAACUCACUGAGAUCUUAAAUUUUAAAAAUAUAAGGUCUGAUAAACUCUUUAUAAAUAAUUGAUUGAAUCAGGUGAAGACUUGGUCGAUUCAUAUUAAUUCACUUGAUUUACUAUUUGAUUCUUUCAAUUUAAUAAGAAUUCAUAUGCAUUUGCAAUUUACGCUAUAUAUUUGAAUUGCUAGGAUAUAGAAUCAAAUUGAGUACUGUAAGUUUCAAAUCAAGAAUUGUAAGAUUUAGGUACAUUUGAGAUUUUUCCUAUAGAUUUGAAUCCAUUUGUUUUACGAUUUGAAUCGAGAAUCAUAAGGUUCUGACACAAUGAGCAAAAGUCUAUUGUGGCUUUUAAAUUGUGGAUCAAUAAUCAAAUAAGUCCUUAAUAAUCAAACAAGCCCUUAAACUUUUCUGGGGGCCCAAACAAGCUUUUUGGCUAUUAAAAUGAAUUAAAUUAGUCCUUUAAAUUUUAAAGUAGAUCAAUUAAGCCCUUGGGAGAUCAGUAGGCCCUUCAAAUUUUAAAAGUAGAUCAAAUAAGCCCUUCAAAUUUUAAAAGUAGAUCAAAUAAGCCAUUACUUCCAGUUCAUAUCUUUCUGUGUUUAACUUUCUCUCCAUGUGACUAUCUUUUCUUAUGUCAUUUACUCAUCUCCACACCAUUAUUGAUGAUGGCUAAAAGCAAAAACAAAGCAUAAUUCCAAAACCAUAGAACUCAUCUAACUUUAUAAAGCAGAAACAACAAUGAAACAAAAAUCUAAAGAAGAUAUUGUAAGAUAUUGUUGAAAAAGAGGAAGAAUAUGAGGAAUUUGAAGAAGAGUAAGAGGUAGAAGAAGAUGAUUCUGGUGACAAUAACAAAGAAGAAGAUGAUUCUGGUGACAAUAACAAAGAAGAAGAUUGUUUUCUUACAAAACAAUUAGAAUCAGUUCUCAUAUGACCAUUAUUAAGUUGUUGACAGUGACUGUGAUGAAGACAAUGCACUCAUAGAUAGGUUUUUUGAACCCCUUGGCAAAUAGUAACUUAUCAAUAUGCUCUGCGAUACUGCAAUUAUUCAUCAUAAUAUUGCAGAUCAGAUACAUAAGAUGGUUGAUGAGGACCCCUUUGCAUUAGAAGAUUUUCAUGCACAAUCUUGGUUGUAUCUUUAACAGGAAUCAAAUUGUAUGCAGUCCCUUUCGAUAUAUUUCUAUAAAUUGAAGGAUUUAUUUGUUGCAUUUUAAAUUUUGAAGGGCUUAUUUAUCCUCAGGGGUUUAUUUGAUCGACUUUUAAAAUUUAAAAACUAUUUUAUCUAGUUUAAUAGUUAAUGCUUUGUUUGGAUGCUGAAAAGGUUCAAGACUUGUGAGACUAUUAGGGUCAAAAUAGGCCUUUUGCCUUCUUUUUGUUUUACUAUCCAUC